AGAGUUUGAUCCUGGCUUCAGAACGAACCCUGGCGGCGUGGAUUAGGCAUGCAAGUCGAACGGAACUUCUAGCUUUUUCGGAAGUUUAGUGGCGAAAGGGUGAGUAACACGUGGGUUACCUGCCCUAGGGCUCGGGAUAACCUGUCGAAAGACGGGCUAAUACCGGAUACGUCCUGCACUUUUCGAAGUGCAGGGGAAAGAUGGGGAUCCGUAAGGACCUAUCACCCUUGGAUGGGCCCGCGGCCUAUCAGCUAGUUGGUGAGGUAAUGGCUCACCAAGGCUAAGACGGGUAGCUGGUCUGAGAGGAUGGUCAGCCACACUGGAACUGAGACACUGUCCAGACACCUACGGGUGGCUGCAGUCGAGAAUCUUUCGCAAUGGGGGAAACCCUGACGACGCGACGCCGCGUGGAGGAUGAAGGCCUUCGGGUUGUAAACUCGCCACGCUACUUGCAA
This 455-nucleotide ribosomal RNA is filed under the name uncultured delta proteobacterium. RNAcentral's name for it is "bacterial SSU rRNA". It matches the Rfam family "Bacterial small subunit ribosomal RNA", at positions 8 to 448 of the family's 1533-position model. Lineage: Bacteria; Deltaproteobacteria. The record is from RNAcentral.